RNAcentral lists this ribosomal RNA (725 nucleotides) under uncultured eukaryote. Its description in RNAcentral is "SSU rRNA". It matches the Rfam family "Eukaryotic small subunit ribosomal RNA", at positions 682 to 1426 of the family's 1831-position model. The record is from RNAcentral.
GGCGUCAAUGCACACGCCAUCAUUUCGGCAGUCUGUGCUAUAUGUGAAAGCAUAUACGUGACUGUCAAGUUUACCUUAAAUAAAUUAAAAUGCUCAAAAUAAGCGUAUGCUUGAAUAUCAUAUUAUGGAAUAAUGAAAUAGGACUUCGGUUCUUUUUGUUGGUUAUUGAAUCGGAGUAAUGAUUAAUAGGGAUAAUCUCGGGGGCAUUCGUAUUUCUGCGGGAGAGGUGAAAUUCUAUGAUCGCAGAAGGACGCCCUAAAGCGAAAGCAUUUGCCAAGAAUGUCUUCGUUAAUCAAGAACGAAAGUCAGAGGAUCGAAGGCGAUUAGAUACCGCCCUAGUUCUGACCGUAAACGAUACCAUCUAGCGAUCCGAUAGGGUCUAUCUAGCCUUGUCGGGGAGCUUCCCGGAAACGAAAGUCUUUCGGUUCCGGGGGUAGUAUGGUUGCAAAGCUGAAACUUAAAGAAAUUGACGGAAGGGCACCACCAGGAGUGGAGCUUGCGGCUUAAUUUGACUCAACACGGGAAAACUCACCCGGUCCGGACACCGUAAGGAUUGACAGACUGAUAGCUCUUUCUUGAUUCGGUGGUUGGUGGUGCAUGGCCGUUCUUAGUUGGUGGAGUAAUUUGUCUGGUUUAUUCCGAUAACGAGCGAGACUCUAGCCUGCUAAAUAGAACGAGGAUAAACCUUUUCAUAGGUCCUCGAUGCUUCUUAGAGGAAUUAGCGG